UGGGGAAUUUUGGACAAUGGGCGAAAGCCUGAUCCAGCAAUGCCGCGUGUGUGAAGAAGGCCUUCGGGUUGUAAAGCACUUUUGUCCGGAAAGAAAUCCUUGGCUCUAAUACAGUCGGGGGAUGACGGUACCGGAAGAAUAAGCACCGGCUAACUACGUGCCAGCAGCCGCGGCAAUACGUAGGGUGCAAGCGUUAAUCGGAAUUACUGGGCGUAAAGCGUGCGCAGGCGGUUUGCUAAGACCGAUGUGAAAUCCCCGGGCUCAACCUGGGAACUGCAUUGGUGACUGGCAGGCUAGAGUACGGCAGAGGGGGGUAGAAUUCCACGUGUAGCAGUGAAAUGCGUAGAGAUGUGGAGGAAUACCGAUGGCGAAGGCAGCCCCCUGGGCCAAUACUGACGCUCAUGCACGAAAGCGUGGGGAGCAAAACAGGAUUAGAUACCCCUGGUAGUCCACGCCCUAAACGAUGUCAACUAGUUGUUGGGGAUUCAUUUCCUUAGUAACGUAGCUAACGCGUGAAGUUGACCGCCUGGGGAGUACGGUCGCAAGAUUAAAACUUAAAUGAAUUGACGGGGUCAUAGCUG
RNAcentral lists this ribosomal RNA (581 nucleotides) under uncultured bacterium. Its description in RNAcentral is "partial 16S ribosomal RNA". It matches the Rfam family "Bacterial small subunit ribosomal RNA", at positions 355 to 932 of the family's 1533-position model. The record is from RNAcentral.